AAAGUGCGAUAAGCAAUGCGAAUUGCAGAAUUCCGCGAAUCAUCAGAUCCUUGAACGCAACUGGCGCUAGGAGGCUCUCCUCCUAGCAGGUCUGUUUCAGUGUCUGAAAACAUCACAAUCUAACUUAAUGUGGUUGAUGACAAAAAGAGAAAUGGGAUUUGUGGACUUUUAGUCCCUACCCUAUAACCUUCUCUUUCUUGAAAUCUCCCAUGAAAGAUGUACAUGCGGGUCAUUGGACCCCUCAUCGAAUUGGUCACUGUUUCCUCAGUGAUUUCGAUAGGGGAAAAAAUAAUAAAUCCAUUACCUAAAUGCAUGUAGGAAAACAAUUUAUUCUAACUUCAAACUCUGCAUCUGAAAUCAGGCCAGAACACCCGCUGAACUUAA
This 384-nucleotide unclassified non-coding RNA is filed under the name uncultured fungus. Its description in RNAcentral is "sequence contains ITS1". The stretch from base 1 to 105 matches the Rfam family "5.8S ribosomal RNA", at positions 50 to 154 of the family's 154-position model. The record is from RNAcentral. Lineage: Eukaryota; Fungi.